RNAcentral lists this unclassified non-coding RNA (193 nucleotides) under plant metagenome. RNAcentral describes it as "partial contains small subunit ribosomal RNA and internal transcribed spacer 1". The stretch from base 1 to 46 matches the Rfam family "Eukaryotic small subunit ribosomal RNA", at positions 1786 to 1831 of the family's 1831-position model. The record is from RNAcentral.
AAGUCGUAACAAGGUCUCCGUUGGUGAACCAGCGGAGGGAUCAUUACAGAGGUUUACCAAACUCCAUAACCCUAUGUGAAUUUACCUUUUGUUGCCUCGGCGAGCCUCUGGGAUUCGUUCUAUGCCCGCCGGUGGCCCUUUAAAAUCUGUUAUUUAGUGGUUAUCUGAGCGUAUAAAACAAAUAAAGUUAAAA